AACGAACGCUGGCGGCAUGCCUAACACAUGCAAGUCGAACGAGAUCUUCGGGUCUAGUGGCGCACGGGUGCGUAACGCGUGGGAAACUGCCCUUUGGUUCGGAAUAACAGUUGGAAACGACUGCUAAUACCGGAUGAUUACGAAAGUCCAAAGAUUUAUCGCCAGAGGAUGAGCCCGCGUAGGAUUAGCUAGUUGGUGUGGUAAAGGCGCACCAAGGCGACGAUCCUUAGCUGGUCUGAGAGGAUGAUCAGCCACACUGGGACUGAGACACGGCCUAGGCUCCUACGGGAGGCAGCAGUGGGGAAUAUUGGACAAUGGGCGAAAGCCUGAUCCAGCAAUGCCGCGUGAGUGAUGAAGGCCUUAGGGUUGUAAAGCUCUUUUACCCGGGAUGAUAAUGACAGUACCGGGAGAAGAAGCUCCGGCUACUCCGUGCCAGCCGCCGCGGUAA
This 448-nucleotide ribosomal RNA is filed under the name uncultured bacterium. RNAcentral's name for it is "partial 16S ribosomal RNA". It matches the Rfam family "Bacterial small subunit ribosomal RNA", at positions 29 to 523 of the family's 1533-position model. The record is from RNAcentral.